Molecule: RNA transcript, 1329 nt
Organism: Agrilus planipennis (emerald ash borer)
Lineage: Eukaryota; Metazoa; Arthropoda; Insecta; Coleoptera; Buprestidae
Gene: PIG-H
Gene name: phosphatidylinositol N-acetylglucosaminyltransferase subunit H
Exons: 4
Source: RefSeq, a predicted model, not a curated record
CCCAUUGAUAUUCCAUGAUAAAGCCAUAGAUAAUUAACACAAAAAGAAAAUGGAGAUAAGAGUUAUCAGCAGCAGUCGGAUUUAUUUGAAACAUUAUUAUAGAUACUAAAUCUGAAGGUUUAACGGGUUUAGCUAUGAAAAGAAUACGAUAAGUUGAUGCGGCAAUUAUUUGGUUAUUAAUUCUAAUCAUGUUAAACAAAAUUGUGUAAAAUCUACUUGUGUUUUUGGUUUGGUUGACUUUUGAAACGGUUACUUAACCUCGUUAACCUAAAAAUUUUCCAAUACUUUACCAGCAUUAAAAAGUAUAGUUUGCAGAAAAUGACUCGAAGUUUAAAAGUUUUUGAAAACUUAAACAGAAAAAAUAUUAUAGUAGAAACCUUUCAAUGCAAGAAACGAGUUUUAAAAGUUAUUGUGAGAGACAAAUCGGUGUAUCGCCAUCGAAAGAAAAUCACGAUUUUAACUGCAAUUGCUAUUUUAAACUUGUAUUGCUAUCACAAAGAAACCUUAGAUUUAUUCACAUGUGCUGUUAUUCAGUUUAUCGUGCUUUAUUUCAACUGCAAAAUAUUUUUUCGGGUACAGAAAGAUUUUAGAAACAUUGCUUGUAAUCAAGUCGUUAGGCAUUCAGUUGGAAUCACAUAGCAUGUUACGAACUUCUACCUUAUUUAUUCCAUGGGUCGAUGUGAAGGAUGUGGUUAUUAACGAAGUGAUAUCAAUGCAAAGGGUACUUUAUAUGUUAAUUAUUAUUACAAAAACUCCAAUCAAAAGUAUAAAAGGAAAGCAAAUAAUACCUUUAUUUUAUGAGUUUUCUCCAAGGUUGGCAUGCCUAGAGUUCAUUUAUAGCAGGAUAGAAGCAUUAAGAGAGUGUUAAAAAGAAUUAUUUGAAUGACAACAUAAAACUGUGAUUUUUUUUGUAUACCUAAGAAUGAGUUACAGAUCAUACUUGUUGCCUUCUAGAAAUAAUAAGUUUUACUUAUUAAUGGAAUUUUUACUCUUUUUUUUUAUUUAUAAUUACAUAUAUUGUGUACAUUUUCUCAUAUUGUUUGUAAAUAUGGCUUUCUGUUAUUACUGUCCUAAAACCAUUUGAUACAUGCGCAGGAACACAGAAAAUAUGUGUAAGAAUGUCAUUUAAUGCUGAUAACAUUUAAUGAUGCUUUAAUAAAACCAUAAAUUAUUAAUGAUUAUAUAUUUGUUAUCAGUGAAAUUUUUAUCAGUUGAAUUGUUAUCAGAAGUUGAAGUAGUAAUUUCUAAAGAAAAGUGUAGUAAUUAGUCAUUCUGUUUCUUUGUUUAAAAUUGUUAAAUUAUAUUUAAGUUUUGGAUUUAAUAAAACAU